UUUAAUUUUGUUAAGCAAAAAAAAUGAAAUUAGUAAAUGAGAUAAUGGGAAAUUGCCCUGUGUAAACAAAAACUGUUCAUUCUAUAUCUUUCACUUCUUUUAAAGUAGAAAAUAUUGAAAAUUAAAAAGUAAAAUGGAAAUUCACACGAAUGCUAGACAGAUUAGAUAUCAGGGUAUCAAACUUUAACCAUUCGAACAUUCAAAAUCAGAGACAACACCAAGACCAAAAUUAAGAAGACAAGACAUUCAUACCAAUAUGCAAGAAUAAAACAUUAUCAUUUGCCUAUGCGUUGGAAGUGUAGUUAUAUUAGGACAUGACAAGAUAUAUCCACAAUAGUGUGUUUCCAAUAUUCUUUUGUAAAUAAAGUAGGAAGAUUGCCUUCCGAAUGUAACGCAGUCUCGAAAUGUUCAUUUCUAAUUGUAUUGAACCGUUAUUCCGGUAAUAUAUAUAAGAAUACAACGUACAUACAUGCAUCUCUUGUUCUAAAGUAAAGAUUUGUUACUUCUCAAAAACACUUAAUAAGACACAAGUAUGUCAUUUGUUUUACAGGAAUGAACCUGAAACACGAAAGUCCGGGUAUGUAUUAAAGUUAUAAUUCUUUUCAGUGCUUAAAAAUUAUAAAGAUUGUUUUAUUCACAUACAAAACUAAAUAGCUCUGUUGUGAUCUUAUUAUUCAGUCUAUGUGUAAUUUUUUAUAUUGAUGAAAAUC
This 710-nucleotide long non-coding RNA is filed under the name Mytilus galloprovincialis (Mediterranean mussel). Lineage: Eukaryota; Metazoa; Mollusca; Bivalvia; Mytilida; Mytilidae. The record is from RNAcentral.